UACGUAGGGUGCAAGCGUUGUCCGGAAUUAUUGGGCGUAAAGAGCUCGUAGGCGGUCUGUUGCGUCCGCUGUGAAAACUCGGGGCUUAACCCCGAGCCUGCAGUGGAUACGGGCAGACUAGAGGUAGGUAGGGGAGAAUGGAAUUCCCGGUGUAGCGGUGAAAUGCGCAGAUAUCGGGAGGAACACCAAUGGCGAAAGCAGCUCUCUGGGACGGUACUGACGCUGAGACGCGAAAGCGUGGGGAGCGAACAGG
This 253-nucleotide ribosomal RNA is filed under the name uncultured bacterium. Its description in RNAcentral is "partial 16S ribosomal RNA". It matches the Rfam family "Bacterial small subunit ribosomal RNA", at positions 524 to 776 of the family's 1533-position model. The record is from RNAcentral.